This 465-nucleotide ribosomal RNA is filed under the name uncultured bacterium. Its description in RNAcentral is "bacterial SSU rRNA". It matches the Rfam family "Bacterial small subunit ribosomal RNA", at positions 198 to 644 of the family's 1533-position model. The record is from RNAcentral.
GGAGGAAAGUAGGGGAUCGCAAGACCUUGCGCUCUUGGAGCGGCCGAUGUCUGACUAGCUAGUUGGUGAGGUAAAGGCUUACCAAGGCGACGAUCAGUAGCUGGUCUGAGAGGACGACCAGCCACACUGGGACUGAGACACGGCCCAGACUCCUACGGGAGGCAGCAGUGGGGAAUUUUGGACAAUGGGGGAAACCCUGAUCCAGCCAUGCCGCGUGAGUGAAGAAGGCCUUCGGGUUGUAAAGCUCUUUCAGCCGGAACGAAACGGUCACGGCUAAUACCUGUGACUACUGACGGUACCGGAAGAAGAAGCACCGGCUAACUACGUGCCAGCAGCCGCGGUAAUACGUAGGGUGCAAGCGUUAAUCGGAAUUACUGGGCGUAAAGCGUGCGCAGGCGGUUUUGUAAGUCAGAUGUGAAAUCCCCGGGCUUAACCUGGGAACUGCGUUUGAAACUACAAGGCUAG